Molecule: small RNA, 354 nt
Filed under: Arabidopsis thaliana (thale cress)
Lineage: Eukaryota; Viridiplantae; Streptophyta; Magnoliopsida; Brassicales; Brassicaceae
Description: ATSL009370
Source: RNAcentral
AUAUUUUUAUUUGAUAGUUUACAAUUGUUAUUAAGUAACAUCCUGCCAAACCCGUCCCGCCAACCCGUCCCGUAAAAAAAACAUUUAUUUUAUUAAUGUUGAUCUUAUUUAUGAUAUGUUUAUGAAUUAUUGUCUAAAUAUUUUGUAAUUUUGUAGUAAUUAAAUGCUAUCAAAUAUCUCUGCGGUUUGAUGUUUAUAAUCGAAUUGUUAUAGUCAUGGAAAAAAGCAAUAUCAAAAAUGAUAAUUUUGAAGUAAUUAAAUGAUAGUAAAUAUUUUGGAAGUUUUAUUUUAGUAACUAAUGUGGAGAGAUUCAGGGAAGAUUGUUAAAUGUCAAAUAUUUAUUUCGAAGAUUUU